RNAcentral lists this ribosomal RNA (304 nucleotides) under uncultured Coxiella sp. RNAcentral describes it as "bacterial SSU rRNA". It matches the Rfam family "Bacterial small subunit ribosomal RNA", at positions 31 to 331 of the family's 1533-position model. Lineage: Bacteria; Pseudomonadati; Pseudomonadota; Gammaproteobacteria; Legionellales; Coxiellaceae. The record is from RNAcentral.
GAACGCUAGCGGCAUGCUUAACACAUGCAAGUCGAACGGCAGAGCGGGGAGUUUAUGCUCCCUGGCGGCGAGUGGCGGACGGGUGAGUAAUACGUAGGAAUCUACCUUAUAGAGGGGGACAACCCGGGGAAACUCGGGCUAAUACCGCAUGAUCUCUAUGGAGUAAAGCGGGGGAUCUUCUGACCUCGCGCUAUAAGAUGAGCCUAUGUCGGAUUAGCUUGUUGGUGGGGUAAUUGCCUACCAAGGCGACGAUCCGUAGCUGGUCUGAGAGGAUGAUCAGCCACACUGGGACUGAGACACGGCC